GACGAACGCUGGCGGCGUGCUUAACACAUGCAAGUCGUACGGUAAGGCCCUUUCGGGGGUACACGAGUGGCGAACGGGUGAGUAACACGUGAGUAACCUGCCCACAACUUUGGGAUAACGCUAGGAAACUGGUGCUAAUACUGGAUAUGUGCUCCUGCUGCAUGGUGGGGGUUGGAAAGCUCCGGCGGUUGUGGAUGGACUCGCGGCCUAUCAGCUUGUUGGUGGGGUAGUGGCCUACCAAGGCGGCGACGGGUAGCCGGCCUGAGAGGGUGACCGGCCACAUUGGGACUGAGAUACGGCCCAGACUCCUACGGGAGGCAGCAGUGGGGAAUAUUGCACAAUGGGCGCAAGCCUGGUGCAGCAACGCCGCGUGCGGGAUGACGGCCUUCGGGUUGUAAACCGCUUUCAGCAGGGACGAAGCUUUUUGUGACGGUACCUGCAGAAGAAGCACCGGCUAACUACGUG
This 465-nucleotide ribosomal RNA is filed under the name uncultured bacterium. RNAcentral describes it as "partial 16S ribosomal RNA". It matches the Rfam family "Bacterial small subunit ribosomal RNA", at positions 28 to 507 of the family's 1533-position model. The record is from RNAcentral.